RNAcentral lists this ribosomal RNA (253 nucleotides) under uncultured bacterium. RNAcentral describes it as "partial 16S ribosomal RNA". It matches the Rfam family "Bacterial small subunit ribosomal RNA", at positions 524 to 776 of the family's 1533-position model. The record is from RNAcentral.
UACGGAGGGUGCGAGCGUUAAUCGGAAUUACUGGGCGUAAAGGGUGCGCAGGUGGUUUAUAUAGUCAUGCGUAGAAGCCCCGGGCUCAACCUGGGAAUGUCGUGUGAUACUGAUAGACUGGAGUACGGGAGAGGGCAGUGGAAUUUCCGGUGUAGCGGUGAAAUGCGUAGAUAUCGGAAGGAACACCGGUGGCGAAGGCGGCUGCCUGGCCUGAUACUGACACUGAGGCACGAAAGCGUGGGGAGCAAACAGG